AAUGUAGCGGCCAAGCAAAGCGUUAGCUCACUGGGGGAGUACGCCGGCAACGUGAAACUUCAAAAGGAAUGACCGGGUCCGCACAGCGGAGGAAACAAUGUGGUUUAAUUCGAUGAUACGCGAGGAACCUUUACCCGGGCUUGAACUGCAAGAGAACGAUACAGAGAUGUUGAGGCCCUUCGGGGCUCCUGUGGAGGUGCUGCAUGGUUGUCGUCAGCUCGUGCCCGUGAGGUGUCGGCUUAAGUGCCAUAACGAGCGCAACCCCCUUCGCCAGUUGCCAUCAGGUGAUGCUGGGCACUCCGGCGACACUGCCACCGCAAGGUGCGAGGAAGGUGGGGAUGACGUCAAAUCAGGCACGGCCCUUACGUCCGGGGCUACACACGUGUUACAAUGGGAGGUACAGAGAGUGUAGGUCGCAUGGCAAUAUGCAUCUAAUCCUUAAAGCCUUCCUCAGUUCGGAUUGGGGUCUGCAACCCGACCCCAUGAAGCUGGAUUCGCUAGUAAUCGCGCAUCAGCCAUGGCGCGGUGAAUACGUUCCCGGGCCUUGUACACACCGCCCGUCAAGCCAUGAAAGCCGGGGGCGCUUGAAGUCCGUGACCGCAAGGAUCGGCCUAGAGCGAAACUGGUAAUUGGGGCUAAGUCGUAACAAGUGCC
Molecule: ribosomal RNA, 654 nt
Filed under: uncultured bacterium
Lineage: Bacteria
Description: bacterial SSU rRNA
Rfam family: Bacterial small subunit ribosomal RNA
Source: RNAcentral